GUCCAACUUUCAGCUAACCGUAACACUAACAUCUGUAAAUAUUGACGCUAUUGCAAAGCUACUGUCCAAGCACCCAUCUAAGCAUCUGGUGGAGUAUUUAAUAACAGGUUUUUUCCCAAGGGUUGCCAGGAGGGACUUGGGAGUUUAAUAAUCUACAGUCGGCCUUGGCCAGUAAGCAGUAGAGGCAUUGCUAUUGAACGAACAAGAGUAAGGGUUUGUACUAGGGCCAUUCACAGAAUCCCCUUUCUCUAACUGGAGGACUAACCCUAUU
This is a non-coding RNA of Pelobates cultripes (western spadefoot toad), 271 nucleotides long. NCBI's taxonomy places the organism in Eukaryota, Metazoa, Chordata, Amphibia, Anura, Pelobatidae. The record is from the annotation of a GenBank genome assembly.